This 37-nucleotide small RNA is filed under the name Arabidopsis thaliana (thale cress). Its description in RNAcentral is "ATSL220430". The record is from RNAcentral. Lineage: Eukaryota; Viridiplantae; Streptophyta; Magnoliopsida; Brassicales; Brassicaceae.
GCCCAAUUGCAAGCAUACAUUUCACGUUGACUGCAUU